This 486-nucleotide ribosomal RNA is filed under the name uncultured bacterium. RNAcentral's name for it is "partial 16S ribosomal RNA". It matches the Rfam family "Bacterial small subunit ribosomal RNA", at positions 30 to 507 of the family's 1533-position model. The record is from RNAcentral.
AUUGAACGCUGGCGGCAUGCCUUACACAUGCCAGUCGAACGGCAGCACGGGUGCUUGCACCUGGUGGCGAGUGGCGAACGGGUGAGUAAUACAUCGGAACAUGUCCUGUAGUGGGGGAUAGCCCGGCGAAAGCCGGAUUAAUACCGCAUACGAUCUACGGAUGAAAGCGGGGGACCUUCGGGCCUCGCGCUAUAGGGUUGGCCGAUGGCUGAUUAGCUAGUUGGUGGGGUAAAGGCCUACCAAGGCGACGAUCAGUAGCUGGUCUGAGAGGACGACCAGCCACACUGGGACUGAGACACGGCCCAGACUCCUACGGGAGGCAGCAGUGGGGAAUUUUGGACAAUGGGCGAAAGCCUGAUCCAGCAAUGCCGCGUGUGUGAAGAAGGCCUUCGGGUUGUAAAGCACUUUUGUCCGGAAAGAAAUCCUUGGCCCUAAUACAGUCGGGGGAUGACGGUACCGGAAGAAUAAGCACCGGCUAACUACGUG